RNAcentral lists this ribosomal RNA (656 nucleotides) under Paraburkholderia fungorum. RNAcentral's name for it is "bacterial SSU rRNA". It matches the Rfam family "Bacterial small subunit ribosomal RNA", at positions 22 to 675 of the family's 1533-position model. Lineage: Bacteria; Pseudomonadati; Pseudomonadota; Betaproteobacteria; Burkholderiales; Burkholderiaceae. The record is from RNAcentral.
GAUCAGAUUGAGCGCUGGCGGCAUGCCUUACACAUGCAAGUCGAACGGCAGCACGGGGGCAACCCUGGUGGCGAGUGGCGAACGGGUGAGUAAUACAUCGGAACGUGUCCUGUAGUGGGGGAUAGCCCGGCGAAAGCCGGAUUAAUACCGCAUACGCUCUACGGAGGAAAGGGGGGGAUCUUAGGACCUCCCGCUACAGGGGCGGCCGAUGGCAGAUUAGCUAGUUGGUGGGGUAAAGGCCUACCAAGGCGACGAUCUGUAGCUGGUCUGAGAGGACGACCAGCCACACUGGGACUGAGACACGGCCCAGACUCCUACGGGAGGCAGCAGUGGGGAAUUUUGGACAAUGGGGGCAACCCUGAUCCAGCAAUGCCGCGUGUGUGAAGAAGGCCUUCGGGUUGUAAAGCACUUUUGUCCGGAAAGAAAACGCCGUGGUUAAUACCCGUGGCGGAUGACGGUACCGGAAGAAUAAGCACCGGCUAACUACGUGCCAGCAGCCGCGGUAAUACGUAGGGUGCAAGCGUUAAUCGGAAUACUGGGCGUAAGCGUGCGCAGGCGGUCCGCUAAGACAGAUGUGAAAUCCCCGGGCUUAACCUGGGAACUGCAUUUGUGACUGGCGGGCUAGAGUAUGGCAGAGGGGGGUAGAAUUCCACGUG